This is a long non-coding RNA of Manduca sexta (tobacco hornworm), 1346 nucleotides long. RefSeq lists it as uncharacterized. NCBI's taxonomy places the organism in Eukaryota, Metazoa, Arthropoda, Insecta, Lepidoptera, Sphingidae. The transcript has 3 exons. The record is from RefSeq and is a predicted model, not a curated record.
ACUUCGGAAGAUUCAUUACCGAAACAUACCUCGGGAAGCGAACACUUGUGCUCUCAUAAAUACUUGAAGAAUAAAUAAAAUUUCUCAAAAUAUUUAAAGUGCAGGGACUAAAUAAAAUCAAUUUGAGAUGUCUUGUAAAAAAAAUCUCUUUUUAAUUCUGCUAUUUGCUGAAAAAAAAUCGAUAAGUCGUUACAAAUUGUUUAAAAUUAUAAAAUCAAUUCUAAGACUGCAAGAUUCUGUUGAUUGGUGAAAAUCAUUAAUAUAUAAAAAUAGAUUUAGCGUUAUAAUUUGUAAAAUAAGAUUCCAAUAUUCUAAGUCCGUCGGUAGAUUUUAAUACUUAGUCUAUUUUAUUCAUUCCUCUCUUGUAAAUAUAUCCGUAGGUUAAAAUAUAAAAUCAGUUCGAAGAUGGCAAGAUUCUACGUCCGUCGGUAGAAUAAUCAUUCGUUUCCUGCAAAUAUAUCCGUAAGUUAAAAUAUAAAAUCAGUUACAAGAAUGCAAAAUUACUUGUCCGUCAGUAGAAUAAUCAUUCGUUUCCUGUAAAUAUAUCCGUAAGUUAAAAUAUAAAAUCAGUUACAAGAAUGCAAAAUUCCUUAUCCGUCAGUAGAAAACUCAUUCUUCUCCUGUAAAUAUAUCCGUAAGUUAAAAUAUAAAAUCACUUACAAGAAUGCAAGAUUCCUUUGACAGCAGUACAUCCUCAUACUUAAGAUAAGUUGUUCUAUACGCUAGAGGAAGAAGAAUAGUCUUAAAGACAAUAAAGAAAAGCCUCUUGAAGCUGGUCGGUGUAUAGAUACAAGCAGUAUUCGCACUUCAACGUACGGAAGACUUCUUGUAACAGAUAUGUCGAGGCUCAACGAGGUCCAUCACGACAUAAUCCGCUUUCCGCAGUCGCAGGAAGGUUUACUAUUCCCUGACCAGCUGAAGACAACUUCGAAAAUAGCAGCACCAUGUGUACUGUCGCGUAACAUCACGUUGCUUCAGACUGCGAUGUGACCGCCCAUUUUCUCUUCAUUGCGAGCAUCAAAUACUGUACCUUUGGGUAGUGGAGAGGGGUGGGUAGUGAGCAGACCAAUUGACUACUCAGGCGGCUAGAUCCUGGGGAAGACGCCAGGGGCGAGCUGAAUGCAAUACCAAAAGUACUAUUGGUGUCAUAAUAAUGCUGCAAAAUGGGGCGGCAAUACCUUUUGGCUCCCAAAAGAGUAUAAUCAAUUAUUUAUAAAAUUGUAACGAAGUACGUAUGGCGUAAACAAGCUAAAUAUGAAGACCUGAAACUAAAGACGGUUUUUUGGGCGCAAUAGUGAGUUUGCGACGGGUGUUACUACACAACUGCAAAUGCCCAAAAUUACUGG